RNAcentral lists this ribosomal RNA (434 nucleotides) under uncultured Fusicatenibacter sp. RNAcentral describes it as "partial 16S ribosomal RNA". It matches the Rfam family "Bacterial small subunit ribosomal RNA", at positions 341 to 792 of the family's 1533-position model. Lineage: Bacteria; Bacillati; Bacillota; Clostridia; Lachnospirales; Lachnospiraceae. The record is from RNAcentral.
ACGGAAGGCAGCAGUGGGGAAUAUUGCACAAUGGGGGAAACCCUGAUGCAGCGACGCCGCGUGAGCGAUGAAGUAUUUCGGUAUGUAAAGCUCUAUCAGCAGGGAAGAUAAUGACGGUACCUGACUAAGAAGCCCCGGCUAACUACGUGCCAGCAGCCGCGGUAAUACGUAGGGGGCAAGCGUUAUCCGGAUUUACUGGGUGUAAAGGGAGCGUAGACGGCAUAACAAGUCUGAAGUGAAAUGCCAGGGCUCAACCCUGGAACUGCUUUGGAAACUGUUAAGCUUGAGUGCCGGAGAGGUAAGCGGAAUUCCUAGUGUAGCGGUGAAAUGCGUAGAUAUUAGGAGGAACACCAGUGGCGAAGGCGGCUUACUGGACGGUAACUGACGUUGAGGCUCGAAAGCGUGGGGAGCAAACAGGAUUAGAUACCCUGGUA